Long non-coding RNA from Poeciliopsis prolifica (blackstripe livebearer), 1150 nucleotides. RefSeq lists it as uncharacterized. The transcript is spliced from 3 exons. The record is from RefSeq and is a predicted model, not a curated record. Lineage: Eukaryota; Metazoa; Chordata; Actinopteri; Cyprinodontiformes; Poeciliidae.
CUCCAGAUGUUUUGAAGGUGGAUCAAUAUGAGCAGAGCAACGUCGCGUCUUGGGGAUCCAGAGGCCUGGAUCAGGUGAAAGAGCUGAGGUGUUGUUAAGGAUUCAAACCUGGGCAAAACGGUCUGCCUGAAAAAUCAGACACCAGAACGCUCAGAUCCAGAAUGCUCCAGAUUUCAGCCAUGACAUUGACCAUGGAUGGAGGGUUUUCUCAUUUUCACAUUUGACUGCUCUGAAAGGUGUGACUGCAUUGUUUCUUUGCAGGCUACAAAAUUAUUUGGACACAAAUGUUUGAGGUUGUCAUGAGGUGCCUCAGCAUGGGCUACGUUGGCCUAGAAAUACCAGCAAACUAACCAGGAAACCAACGCAGAGGACCAAAAGAAAACAGGCGAAAGCGUGGCCCAGUUUUUCAGAGCCUGAAGAGCUGGAACCAUUCACACUCCAUGACAUGGAGCACUGACGCAGUAUUAGUCUUCAAGAACAAGCAUUUGGCCAAACCUCUGAGCUUUGCUGAUGGGUUGCUUGACUGCUCAUGUGCAGAAUGCAGGUCGCUGGACAAUAGAGCACUGGAAUAGUUGCAACUGGACUUUGUCAUGUGAAGGAAAGGGGAUGACAUGCCAUACAACUCUUUAGAGAAGUUUGGAUCCUUUGUUUGCUGCAACACCUGGCUGAAAAUCUGUCAGUCCUGUAGGGGGUUAUAUCAGAUAUGCAGUCAGUCACAAAUACCUUCUUGGUAAAUGAUGGAGCCCCAGCUAUGUGAGAGUAAUGUGGCUCAUUCCAUUUCCAGGACUUUCAAGACAUUUUUGAGCAGCGUAGACAGGCAGGGCCGGCGCUGUCCAUGGUUCUGUAAACUCUUUUACUCACAAUGAAAUAAAGUGGGUUAAGAUAACCACCAUUCAGUCGAGCAUAGAUUUGUAAGUUAUGUCCAGCUUUAUUUUCUGUUUAUGUUGCACUAACGUCAUUAUGGUUUCAGGUUGCAGGUACGCAAUGAAUUAUGCCAAGGGUUAGGGGUUUUGGAUUUCACAGGGUGGCAGCUGCAAUUUGGAGCUUAAAAUGUCUCAGCAUUCAGUGCAUGCAUUCUUUCACUCUCUUGUUUAUUCAUCACAAAAAAGGAAGCCUAGACAAGGAAGAUUUAAGACAACUGGCUUUGGAA